Long non-coding RNA from Rhincodon typus (whale shark), 702 nucleotides. RefSeq lists it as uncharacterized. Lineage: Eukaryota; Metazoa; Chordata; Chondrichthyes; Orectolobiformes; Rhincodontidae. The transcript has 3 exons. The record is from RefSeq and is a predicted model, not a curated record.
UGAUGAAGCACUGGGCCUGGCUUACUGCUGAUAAGGGCCUGAUGUUAAAGGCACUGCCUGUGCUAUUAGCCCACUCCCAAAAAACUCACUGCUUCUCCUACACCAUCAGGAUGGUUCUGUUGUGGAGCUGGUGAAACCCUGGGCUUUGAGCAGCUCAGACGCCAUCUGAGCACAGUCACAGAACACAGCGAAAGGUGCAUCAGACUUUUCCAUCCAUCCUUCUUCAAAAACCCCGCUCAUCAAAACUUGUGAGUUGAAAACCCACUGGAACACCCCAUUGCAGCAAAUGGAGGCUUCUUAAGGACAAAGUCUGAACUUACAGCCACUGUAUGUCCAAGAAAUUUCAACCAGUCAUAACUGAUCCACGGGAAAAACCCCAGUACCAAUAACUAGGGUUUGGUACCCAGCUGAUUUGAUCCUGGUACUUCUGGACUAGAGGAUUGCAAACAUAACAGCCAAGUUUGAGAGAAGAGAGGAUAAAUCAGAUAACUACAUACUCAUCAGCUGCCUGUCACCGAUGGGGGUAAAUUCUACAGGCAAAAGUUCAGAAGAAAUCAAUAUUUGUCACUUGGAAAAACAAGGGUUAAUGAUUGACAACCAACAAUGAUUUGUUAAAAGUACAUUUUUUCCGAUGAACUUUCAUUGAGUUUUUUGAUGAAGCAAAGGAGAGUGUUGAUGAGGAUAAUACAAUUAUUGAUUUGA